This 768-nucleotide ribosomal RNA is filed under the name Triticum aestivum (bread wheat). RNAcentral describes it as "partial small subunit ribosomal RNA". The record is from RNAcentral. Lineage: Eukaryota; Viridiplantae; Streptophyta; Magnoliopsida; Poales; Poaceae.
AUGGAUUGCGGUACUGAUGAGCGCCAAUAUGGCCAUGGCGGCGACGGUGACGCGGCGGAGUGGAAGAAGGUGGCGGAGCUCAGGGAGGUCGUCGAGGCACAGGACCCCUCAGCAAAGGAGGAGGAUGACUUCGCGCUACGGCGGUUCCUGCGUGCCCGGGAGCACAACAUCAAAAAGGCGUCGGCGAUGCUUCUCCGGUACCUUGCCUGGAAGCGUGUCACCAUGCCCCAUGGCUUUAUCUCGGACGACGAGGUGCGGGGCGAGAUCGCAAAGGGAAGGGACCACCACCAGGGUUUUGACCGUCUUGGUCGCCCCAUGUCGUAUCUCUAUGGUGGGUGCCACUUCCCCGUCCGGGGUGAUCACGAAGAUCUCAAGCGCUACGUGGCCUACGCUUUUGAGAAAAGCUGCACCAGGCUGUCCGCAGGACAGGAGAAGUUUGCGGCAGUGAUAGACCUGAAGGGAUGGGGGUACGCGAACUGCGACAUGCGGGGGUACCUGGCAGGGCUGGACAUCAUGCAGAGCUAUUACCCGGAGAGGGUGGGCCGUGUGUUACUGAUCCACGUGCCCUACAUAUUCAUGGCUGCCUGGAAGAUGGUGUACCCCUUUAUUGAUGACAAGACCAAGAAGAAGUUUGUGUUCGUCGCUGAUAGGGACCUCGACGCCACGCUUAGAGACGCCAUUGACGAGUCCCAGCUCCCCGAGGAGUACGGUGGCAAGCUCAAGUUCCAGGCCUACAACAAUUUUUCACCAUCAUCCAAGUCCAUCUAA